GAUUCAUGUUGGGCAAUUGCUGUUCGAGCUUUGUAAGCGAGAAUAGAGGAAAGUCCGAACACCGAGAACAGAGUGCCGGGUAACGCCCGGGGACUAAUUAUGCAAAUAUUUAGUUACGGAAAGUACCACAGAAAAGAUACCGUUCCGCUUUGGCAGAAUAAGGGUGAAAUGGCAGGGUAAGAGCCUACCGCUCCAAUAGCAAUAUUGGGGGUCUCGAAUGAGAAUCCCAAAUAUUUGGGAUCAUGGCAAACCCCACUUGGUGCAAGGUUAAGUAGAAAGCUUUACAAAAUUAUUUGUAAGAAGGGUGUUCUCCCUUUGCUUUCGGGUAAACCGCUUGAAUUUUAGAGUAAUCUAAAGUCUAGAUAAAUAAUUGCCGUCCAUUAAUUUGGAAACAAAAUUCGGCUUAUAGACUUGAAUUAUCA
Molecule: RNase P RNA, 422 nt
Filed under: Ignavibacteriota bacterium
Lineage: Bacteria; Pseudomonadati; Ignavibacteriota
Also listed under: 1 other name
Description: Ignavibacteriae bacterium (activated sludge metagenome) RNase P RNA component class A
Rfam family: Bacterial RNase P class A
About the family: Ribonuclease P (RNase P) is a ubiquitous endoribonuclease, found in archaea, bacteria and eukarya as well as chloroplasts and mitochondria. Its best characterised activity is the generation of mature 5'-ends of tRNAs by cleaving the 5'-leader elements of precursor-tRNAs.
Source: RNAcentral